This 428-nucleotide ribosomal RNA is filed under the name uncultured Clostridium sp. Its description in RNAcentral is "bacterial SSU rRNA". It matches the Rfam family "Bacterial small subunit ribosomal RNA", at positions 355 to 776 of the family's 1533-position model. Lineage: Bacteria; Bacillati; Bacillota; Clostridia; Eubacteriales; Clostridiaceae. The record is from RNAcentral.
UAGGGAAUUUUCGGCAAUGGGGGAAACCCUGACCGAGCAACGCCGCGUGAAGGAAGAAGUAAUUCGUUAUGUAAACUUCUGUCAUAGAGGAAGAACGGUGCGUGUAGGGAAUGACAUGCAAGUGACGGUACUCUAUAAGAAAGCCACGGCUAACUACGUGCCAGCAGCCGCGGUAAUACGUAGGUGGCGAGCGUUAUCCGGAAUUAUUGGGCGUAAAGAGGGAGCAGGCGGCACUAAGGGUCUGUGGUGAAAGAUCGAAGCUUAACUUCGGUAAGCCAUGGAAACCGUAGAGCUAGAGUGUGUGAGAGGAUCGUGGAAUUCCAUGUGUAGCGGUGAAAUGCGUAGAUAUAUGGAGGAACACCAGUGGCGAAGGCGACGAUCUGGCGCAUAACUGACGCUCAGUCCCGAAAGCGUGGGGAGCAAAUAGG